Molecule: long non-coding RNA, 386 nt
Organism: Apis laboriosa (Himalayan honeybee)
Lineage: Eukaryota; Metazoa; Arthropoda; Insecta; Hymenoptera; Apidae
Exons: 3
Source: RefSeq, a predicted model, not a curated record
AAAAAAAUCUAUUUUCAUAUAUAUUUUAAUGCUUUUUUAGACAAUUGAAAAAUUAAAAACUAAGCUAUAUGCUGAGCAAUCAGUUUGCAGAAACUGGUAUUGACCAAUAAAGGAAAUGACGAUAUUCAAGGAAAUGUCGAUGUAGAAGAUAAGAAUGUUUAAUAUGUAUAGUGUAUUUCACAGUGAAUUUAUAAUUGACGAGAAUGGAAAUUUUAAAGAAGAGAUAAUUAAAGAAAUCAUGGGAUUAGUUUUAGAAGAAAGUGAUUUUAAUCAAUUAAUCACAAAAUAUUCAGCCAUUUGUAAAUAAAAAAUUAUUAUAAUGAAAUAACUAUUAUAAUGAAAUAAUACGAUUAUUAUAUAUUUUAAUUAUUACAUAUAAUUUUAAA